Molecule: ribosomal RNA, 491 nt
Filed under: uncultured Acidobacteriota bacterium
Lineage: Bacteria; Pseudomonadati; Acidobacteriota
Description: bacterial SSU rRNA
Rfam family: Bacterial small subunit ribosomal RNA
Source: RNAcentral
CGCCCUUGAGUUUGAUCAUGGCUCAGAAUCAACGCUNGGCGGCGCGCUUAACACAUGCAAGUCGCACGAGAAAGGGGAGCAAUCCCUGAGUAAAGUGGCGUACGGGUGAGUAACACGUGGAUCAUCUACCUUCUGGUGGGGAAUACCCCCGGGAAACUGGGGACAAUACCGCAUAAGCUCGAAAGAGGAAAGCAGCAAUGCGCCGGAAGAGGAGUCCGCGGCCGAUUAUGCUAGUUGGCGGGGUAAUGGCCCACCAAGGCGAAGAUCGGUAGCCGGCCUGAGAGGGCACACAGCCACACUGGCACUGAAACACGGGCCAGACUCCUACGGGAGGCAGCAGUGGGGAAUCUUGCACAAUGGAGGAAACUCUGAUGCAGCGACGCCGCGUGAGCGAUUAUUUUUUUUGGGGUGUAAAGCUCUUUCGACGGGAACGAUAAUGACGGUACCCGAAGAAGAAGCUGCGGCUAACUACGUGCCAGCAGCCGCGGUAA